UAUAAUGGGUCAGCGACUUAUAUUCUGUAGCAAGGUUAACCGCAUAGGGGAGCCGAAGGGAAACCGAGUCUUAACCGGGCGUUAAGUUGCAGGGUAUAGACCCGAAACCCGGUGAUCUAGCCAUGGGCAGGUUGAAGGUUGGGUAACACUAACUGGAGGACCGAACCGACUAAUGUUGAAAAAUUAGCGGAUGACCUGUGGCUGGGGGUGAAAGGCCAAUCAAACCGGGAGAUAGCUGGUUCUCCCCGAAAGCUAUUUAGGUAGCGCCUCGUGAAUUCAUCUCCGGGGGUAGAGCACUGUUUCGGCUAGGGGGCCAUCCCGGCUUACCAACCCGAUGCAAACUGCGAAUACCGGAGAAUGUUAUCACGGGAGACACACGGCGGGUGCUAACGUCCGUCGUGAAGAGGGAAACAACCCAGACCGCCAGCUAAGGUCCCAAAGUCAUGGUUAAGUGGGAAACGAUGUGGGAAGGCCCAGACAGCCAGGAUGUUGGCUUAGAAGCAGCCAUCAUUUAAAGAAAGCGUAAUAGCUCACUGGUCGAGUCGGCCUGCGCGGAAGAUGUAACGGGGCUAAACCAUGCACCGAAGCUGCGGCAGCGACACUUUAGUGUUGUUGGGUAGGGGAGCGUUCUGUAAGCCGUUGAAGGUGUCCUGUGAGGGGUGCUGGAGGUAUCAGAAGUGCGAAUGCUGACAUAAGUAACGAUAAAGCGGGUGAAAAGCCCGCUCGCCGGAAGACCAAGGGUUCCUGUCCAACGUUAAUCGGGGCAGGGUGAGUCGACCCCUAAGGCGAGGCCGAAAGGCGUAGUCGAUGGGAAACGGGUUAAUAUUCCCGUACUUGGUGUUACUGCGAAGGGGGGACGGAGAAGGCUAUGUUGGCCGGGCGACGGUAGUCCCGGUUUAAGCGUGUAGGCUGGUUUUCCAGGCAAAUCCGGAAAAUCAAGGCUGAGGCGUGAUGACGAGGCACCACGGUGCUGAAGCAACAAAUGCCCUGCUUCCAGGAAAAGCCUCUAAGCAUCAGGUAACAUCAAAUCGUACCCCAAACCGACACAGGUGGUCAGGUAGAGAAUACCAAGGCGCUUGAGAGAACUCGGGUGAAGGAACUAGGCAAAAUGGUGCCGUAACUUCGGGAGAAGGCACGCUGACAC
RNAcentral lists this ribosomal RNA (1144 nucleotides) under Salmonella enterica. Its description in RNAcentral is "partial 23S ribosomal RNA". It matches the Rfam family "Bacterial large subunit ribosomal RNA", at positions 611 to 1757 of the family's 2925-position model. Lineage: Bacteria; Pseudomonadati; Pseudomonadota; Gammaproteobacteria; Enterobacterales; Enterobacteriaceae. The record is from RNAcentral. RNAcentral also lists the same sequence under 1 other name.